AGAGGGAAAAAUCCCUUGCUGUGAACGUCUACCUGCUAGUAAUAAAGAGAAACUGGGAGGAAACCUUGGAGACUACAGGAUUUUCAGGAUUACGACCUGGGCUUGAAAGCCCUCCAGACAUCAGGGAGACCUGCUCCCAGAGAGAGCUUGCUAGAUGCAACCUAGAGAGCAACUACACAGCAAUUCGCAUUUUAAAAUUGCAUUUCAAGGAUCCCUCACAGUGUCGAGGCUGUUGCUUUGCCUGUGUGGCUCAAAAUUUCUGCCGAGUGAAUCACCACCACUCCAGCAACGCGCCGCAUUUGAUCACAGAGUCCUAGAGGGUUUUCAACAAGCAAUUAGGCGGUGGAUGCGAAAAUAAUUUGUACGUUUGUCUGUUUGUUGUUUGUCUCGAGCUCUUUUAUAAUCAGUUAGCUCAUUGCCUUCGGCUGCAGGCAGAAGGGCUUCAGAAAUGCUGCCCUGGUCCCUCUGGGCAGGCUGGGCUGGAGCAGGCAGCUGCCCGGGUCUGAGCAUUGCUGGAUGUAACGUGYGCUCCGGGGAGGAUGGGAGAAGGUUAUUCGGAGCGGUCGUGCUGCUACUUGUCCUCUUCCCCAGCAAAAACGCUCUCCACUGGCAAUUACCACAUUGCUGCAAACAGACCGGAGAGAGACAUGAUGUAAAAAUUAAAUUACUUAAAACAUUUUGGGCUAACRCUUGGCUUUAUGUAAACUCAGAGACAAUCCUGUAAGGUACUCAGGGCAGAUUAUAGGUUUGGGCAAAGCUAGAAAAUUGCUGCCAUUAUAUUGUUAUUAUUAACACCUUGUAAUUAGCCC
Long non-coding RNA from Nothoprocta perdicaria, 809 nucleotides. RefSeq lists it as uncharacterized. NCBI's taxonomy places the organism in Eukaryota, Metazoa, Chordata, Aves, Tinamiformes, Tinamidae. The record is from RefSeq and is a predicted model, not a curated record. The transcript has 2 exons.